AACAGUGACACCAUGUAUUG
This 20-nucleotide microRNA is filed under the name Ciona intestinalis (vase tunicate). RNAcentral describes it as "cin-miR-3599-5p". The record is from miRBase by way of RNAcentral. Lineage: Eukaryota; Metazoa; Chordata; Ascidiacea; Phlebobranchia; Cionidae.